This 67-nucleotide transfer RNA is filed under the name Physella acuta. RNAcentral describes it as "tRNA-Arg". The record is from RNAcentral. Lineage: Eukaryota; Metazoa; Mollusca; Gastropoda; Physidae.
AUCAAGAAAGCGAAUAAUUGCGCCAAGUUUCGGCCUUGGACCUCGGGGUAGGUAUCCCGUUUUGAUA